GCGCUGUCCCCACGGGCUGCCUUUUCCUCGAGCGCUACCCUCAACUCUGUGGUUGGGGCUAGAAAACUCCUGAGCUCGAAGCUGACUUAGCUCAUUUGUUGAUUUUUUUUUUUUUUUUUUUUUUUAACUUAAGUUUAAUGGAAAGAGAGGAAGCUGAGUCAGCGUCGGGAAGGAACCCAAGCGGACUUUACUUGGGGAGGUAUACAGGAGAACUAACUACUUAGUAGCAGAGUCUACUUAGUAGCAUAUCAUAACUAGCUACUUAGCCUACGGGAAUUAGCUACUUAGUCGCACAGUUUACUUAGUAACUUAGUGUAACUUGUGGGAAAUUGGGCUUCUACAAGUAACACUAUGUAUCACAAGUAUCAACAGAGACUCUUAAACUGUAGCUUUUGUCUAAUCUAUGAGUGGAUUCUCUCCGUAAAUGCUUCCCUUGGAGUUCUGAAGAUUAAGUGCAUAUUAAUUAAUAUAGCUGGUUAAAAGCCAUGUGGAGAAAGUGGUGAUGGCUAUUUAGGCUGCCACUAGAAGGUGUGGCCAAGAUUAAGAUGGAUCUUCCGAUCUGUCUUAGUCACCUCUAGUGCUCUGAAGGGACAUCACAAUCAAGGCAACUCUUAGAAAGGAAAGCAUUUAAUUGAGGGCUUGCUUAUAGUUUCAUCACGGCAGGGAGUAUGGCAGCAUGAAGGUAUUGUGUUGGAGAAGUGGGUGAGAACUAUAUCCUGAUUCACAGACAGAUGAAGAGACACUGAGCCUAGAGUAGACUUUUGAAACCUCCAACCCCAACCACAGCAACACACCUCCAACAGGGACACACUUCACCAACUGGAUACUAAGCAUACAAAUACAUAACCCAGCCGGGUCAUUUUCAUCCAAACUGCCACAUGACCUCAAAAGAUUUGGAUUUACAGUGGGUCUUCCCACUGUAAUGAUUUAAUUAAGAAGAAUACUUCACAGGUGUACUUAGCUACUUGGGGUUUUGUUAAUCCAGUUGUGAUUAAACUGACAACCAAGACUGGCAUCACAACAUGUGACCACUUACUCUAACACCCUUUGCUGCUGUCACUAUCCAUCAUGAGGCAGUGCAGCCAAGGAGUGACCCUCAUUACAGAGGUGAAGCGAUUUGGACUUCAAGCCUCGAGAACUGUGAGCUUAAUUUUUUUGUUUGUUUAAUUAAAUGCUUCUCUUCAUAAAUAACCUAUUUAAAGGAAUGUUGUUAUUGUAAUGAAAUGCUUGUGCAAUGGACUGCACUGAACAGCAGAAGUGGUCAUGCUGACCUGGGAGGCCAGUAAGGGACUUUAGUCGUCUCUCCCUAGUUGUUCCACUAGUCAUUACAGCAUUCUUUGCAGUUGCAUAUUUGAAAGCAGGACAGGGAAUUCCAUGACCUAUUUUCUGAGAA
This 1393-nucleotide long non-coding RNA is filed under the name Mus pahari (shrew mouse). RNAcentral describes it as "lncRNA (MGP_PahariEiJ_G0005834.1)". Lineage: Eukaryota; Metazoa; Chordata; Mammalia; Rodentia; Muridae. The record is from RNAcentral.